Molecule: ribosomal RNA, 1233 nt
Filed under: metagenome
Description: bacterial LSU rRNA
Rfam family: Bacterial large subunit ribosomal RNA
Source: RNAcentral
GGGCGAAGUAGCUGAUUUCACACUGUCAAGAAAAGCUUCUAUCGAGUUUAAAGGCGCCCGUACCGUAAACCGACACAGGUGGGUGAGGAGAGUAUCCUAAGGCCAGCGAGAGAACUAUUGUUAAGGAACUCGGCAAAAUGACCCCGUAACUUAGGGAGAAGGGGUGCCUGUCUAUGACAGGCCGCAGAGAAUAGGCCCAAGCGACUGUUUACCAAAAACACAGGUUUCUGCUAAGUCGCAAGACGAUGUAUAGGAGCUGACGCCUGCCCGGUGCUGGAAGGUUAAGGGGAUCUGUUAGAGCAAUCGAAGCAGUGAACUUAAGCCCCAGUAAACGGCGGCCGUAACUAUAACGGUCCUAAGGUAGCGAAAUUCCUUGUCGGGUAAGUUCCGACCCGCACGAAAGGCGUAACGAUUUGGGCACUGUCUCAACAAUAGACUCGGUGAAAUUGUAAUCCCGGUGAAGAUGCCGGGUACCUGCGACAGGACGGAAAGACCCCAUGGAGCUUUACUGUAGCUUGACGUUGGGUCUUGGUACUACAUGUACAGGAUAGGUGGGAGACUAUGAAGCAUGGACGCCAGUCUGUGUGGAGUCAUCCUUGGGAUACCACCCUUGUAGUACUGGGAUCCUAACCAUAGGCCUUGAAUCAGGUCUUGGAACACCGUCAGGUGGGCAGUUUGACUGGGGCGGUCGCCUCCUAAAAAGUAACGGAGGCGCUCAAAGGUUUCCUCAGCACGGUCGGAAAUCGUGCGAAGAGUGUAAAGGUAAAAGGAAGCUUGAUUGCAAGACAUACAGGUCGAGCAAGGACGAAAGUCGGACUUAGUGAUCCGGUGGUACCGCAUGGAAGGGCCAUCGCUCAACGGAUAAAAGCUACCCUGGGGAUAACAGGCUUAUCUCCCCCAAGAGUCCACAUCGACGGGGAGGUUUGGCACCUCGAUGUCGGCUCAUCACAUCCUGGGGCUGUAGUAGGUCCCAAGGGUUGGGCUGUUCGCCCAUUAAAGUGGUACGCGAGCUGGGUUCAGAACGUCGUGAGACAGUUCGGUCCCUAUCCGUCGCAGGCGUAGGAAAUUUGAGAAGACCUGUCCUUAGUACGAGAGGACCGGGAUGGACGUACCUCUGGUGUACCAGUUGUUCUGCCAAGGGCAUGGCUGGGUAGCUAUGUACGGAAUGGAUAAGCGCUGAAAGCAUCUAAGCGCGAAGCCAACUUCAAGAUAAGAUUUCCCACCGUAAGGGUA